UUCUCUUCUCUACUCUCUCUUCUCUAUCUCUCUCUACUCUACCAAACAGAGCAUAAGUGCGUCUUUCUUUCCCCUUUUUCUUCUUCCAUGACCUAAUCGCCUGCAUCGAUCAUGUUUCUGCUGAAGGAGUACAGUGUGUUGCAGUCGUUUUGCUCUCCAAUUUUUGUACUUUUGAUGAUCUCACCUUCUGCGUUGGAAAAGUUUUGGUGGAAGGUGAAGACUGUGGGCAUUGGUUUGAUUUCGACAUAGAUCGUCACAUUUAGCUGGCUCUCUCACUGUAUACUCUCUGAUGUGUGGGAGCAGUUGGUGUCAAUUGUAGUUGUUGCAGUUUCAAUGAAGAAGAAGGUUCGUGUUAUUUGAUGCCUUGCAAAUGGAAGACAUCACUGAGUCAUAUGAUGAGGGUGGUUCUUUUGAUUCUGUGCUUAGGCUGAAUGGCGUGGGCAAUCUGGCAACAUCGGAACUAUGUAAUCUUCAAGGAGGGGAGAAAUCAAGAUGUGUCAAUCUUUGAAGGUGCUCAACUUAGAGCUUGGCAUUGGUUUACAGGAAGAGUGAAGGGAUUCAAUUGCUCAACAUAUGAAUGGUUGGCUCAACCUAUACUAUGUAUUAAGGCAGCGGUUCUAUGAUUUUGAUGCACUCACCAGUUCCUCUGGGCGGCGAAAAGGGAUUUUUAUUUUUUUGAAACAAAGAGAGAAAGAGAAGGAAAUUUACCAAAAAGAAAAAACGCGAGAACGUUGUUCCCCUAAACUCUGAUCAAAUCGAGCUAUUAAAGAAGCAAGGUUGGAAAGAAGGGAAUGGUCUUGGGAUAUUUGAGCAGGGUAGACUAGAACCCAUGGAAACUUGUGUGAAGAAUAACAAACGAGGUUUGGGAGCGGACAAAGGGAAGAAAAAGGCCGUGAAGUCUGAUGAUAGUAAUGUCUCUGAAGGGAACUAUCAGCAGAUAACCAAGGGUCUAUUGGAGAAGUAUGGCCCUGAGAGGGUUCUUGAUACUCCAAUCACUGAGAAGAACAGAACUACUUUCUGGUUGUUGGUGAGGGAUCUGAUUGAUUCUGAGGAGGAGGAGGAAGAGGUGUUGUUUGAUGACAUGGGAGCGUGUGUGUCAACUCCACAAGGUUGUGUUGGGGGAAAGUUGAAGAGGAAAAAAACCGCAAGAGGAGGAGAGGAGAUGGGCUCAGGAGAAGAGUUUGUUGUCGGUUGUAUAAGAAGGGGAAGGGAUCAUCAUUGGACAAGGUUGAUGUGCCCGGUGACCGUUCCUUUGCCAACAACCCCACUUUCCAAGCUGGAAGUAUUAUUGAGGAGGCAUGGUUUGAUUCUGUAGCAGUGUUUGAAUCAGACUGUGAUGAUGAUUACCAGAGUGUCCCUGAUGAUGUUGUAUCUCUGAAUGGGAUAGAAUCCAUAUCAAGUUUUGCAUCUUCAAGAGAUGGCAACCAAGUUUCAACUGAUCAAGUACAGAAAACAAAGGAGUUGUUAUCUAGAGGAUAUUCUGGAAAUAUCUCUGAGGCUGCCAGAAUUUCAGAUGUUCAACAUUCUAGUGUAGAUGUCAUUGAUUCUCAAUGUAAAUGCGACAGAAAUAUAGUUGAAGGAAAUGAACCUGUGUUCCUUGAUGAAAUCUCCUCAGUGGAUGCAAAUUCCAUCAAGGAAGAUGGAAUUUUGGAUAACUGUGGGAUUCUUCCGAAUAAUUGUUUGCCUUGUCUUGCAUCUACUGUUCCUUCCAUUGAAAAGAGAAGAUCAUCAAGUUCUAGUCCUCCUAGUGCAAGGAAGAAGACUCCUAUGAAAAUCUCCUCUAAAUUGAGGGAAGGACAUGGGAUUGCUACCCUAUUUUCGUCAAAGGAACUUCUACAAAGACCAAUUGCAGGUUCUCAAGUACCCUUUUGUCCAAUUGAAAAGAAAAUGCUUGAUUGUUGGUCACACAUUGAUCCAAGCACUUUCAAAGUCCGAGGAGUAAAUUAUUUGAAGGACAGGAAGAAGGAAUUUGCUCCUAACCAUUCUGCAUAUUACCCAUUUGGUGUAGAUGUUUUCUUAUCUCCGCGAAAAUUGGACCAUAUAGCUAGGUUUGUGGAGCUUCCUGUUAUUAGUACCUCUGGGAAAUUUCCACCCAUACUUGUUGUGAAUGUACAGAUUCCUCUCUACCCUGCCGGACUGUUUCAAGGUGAAACUGAUGGCGAAGGAAUGAGUUUUGUUUUGUAUUUUAAACUUUCAGAAAGUUACUCCAAGGAACUUCCACUGCAUUUUCAAGAAAGCAUGAGGAGGUUGAUGGAUGAUGAAGUUGAGAAGGUAAAGGGUUUUCCUGUAGAUUCAAUUGUUCCCUUCCGUGAAAGGUUGAAAAUCUUGGGCCGUGUUGUCAAUCUGGAAGAUCUUCAUUUAAGUGCAGCUGAAAGGAAGCUUAUGACCGCUUACAAUGAGAAACCUGUUCUGUCACGUCCCCAACAUGAGUUUUACUCGGGAGAAAACUACUUUGAGAUUGAUAUAGAUAUGCAUAGAUUCAGUUAUAUCUCCAGGAAAGGGUUUGAAGCUUUCUUGGACAGAUUAAAAGUCUGUGUUCUAGAUGUUGGUUGAACAACGUGUGUAUAGUGAAUGAAAGCAACUUAUGGAAUAUUCCAAUCCAUAAAAUGUUGGGUAGAAACCAAUGGAUAUAGAGGCCCAGAGAGUAAGAGAAAAGAUACAAGUAAUGUAUCUGAUAUAUAAUGUUAUGUGAUCAGAACUGAGCAAUAAAAAGAAAAAUGAGGUGCAUGUGAGGUGUUUGGAAUGAGUAAUUAUACAUCGAUAAACUUUCUGGUAUGCAAUCGAUACACACUUUAGCAGUGGUAAAACAGCCGCAAACAUUUGCACUUAAUGACAGUCCCGCUAAAGUGUAUGUUGAUUGAAUGUUAAUGGGAAGUGUAUGUCUAAGCAUAAUUUUCAUUUUGGAAUACUGAAUAUGGUUUUUCGACUC
Molecule: RNA transcript, 2929 nt
Organism: Lotus japonicus
Lineage: Eukaryota; Viridiplantae; Streptophyta; Magnoliopsida; Fabales; Fabaceae
Exons: 14
Source: RefSeq, a predicted model, not a curated record